Long non-coding RNA from Syngnathoides biaculeatus (alligator pipefish), 2171 nucleotides. RefSeq lists it as uncharacterized. The transcript has 8 exons. NCBI's taxonomy places the organism in Eukaryota, Metazoa, Chordata, Actinopteri, Syngnathiformes, Syngnathidae. The record is from RefSeq and is a predicted model, not a curated record.
GAUCUGGGUCCAGCCUCGAGAGGACGCCUCGUGCAGGGCCGUGUAGCCCGCGUUGUCCCGCCGGUUCACCUCCCGGAUGUCCUUUUCGAGGCAGUACUGCACCACCUCCUGACGGGCCGACCCCCCCACCAAAAAAGGGGCGGCGCAGUGGGUCAACUGGAAAGCCUUGCCCUCGCAGUUCUGAGCUCCCGGGUUCGAUUUCGGACCCGCCUGUGUGGAGUUUGCAUGUUCUUGCUGUGCCUGCGUGGGUUUCCUCCAGGCACUCCGGUUUCCUCCCACAUCCCAAAAACAUGCAACAUGAAGAAAAUGGAUGGAUGAACUUAUGCUAGGAGUUAGCAAGUGUACUUGAAGCAAGCACAGCAAGCCUCUUAUGUGGAGAAUUAUGGUCGCAAGCGCGCCGGCGCUUAUCCCGUCCAUCUUCGGGCGAGAGGCGGGGGUAUACUCUCAACUGCUUGCCAGCAACGGUUUGCUGUCGGACUCCUCCACCGACACGUCGCCGGCCUGGUAACGGACCGAACCCGAGCGCGUGAAGGAGGGUCUCCGAAGCGGCGCCGGCGACUCCGGACCGGAAGCGGCGGGACUCGGGCACUGAGCCGUCUGGGAAUCUGCAACAGUCGUUGCAGAAUCGCGCCCGGGGAACAGAUGGGAGCUACCCCUAAAACCGUCUAAGGAGUCUCAGACACGGACUCGUGUCACGAGGACCGACGAACAGUGUUUCAGAGGUGAAAACAAGCUAAAGUUUACAGGCCCGGCCGGUGGUGUUGAGUUCCAGUAGAAAACCUUCAAGAACCGUAAAGUUUGGGUCUUUGGGCCAGCAACCUAUCCAGGGAAUCCCAGACUUCUCUGUCCUAAGAUACUCCGUCUAAGUCUUCCGUUCCCAGGGCAACCGGAAGACGUAGUCUCUCCAGGGUGUCCUGGGUGGUCCCAGGGGCCCGCUACACCUCACCGGGGCGAGAUUCCGAGAGUAUCCUUAUGUCCGAGCCGCCACAUUUGACUCCUCUCAAAGCGGAGGAGCAACGGCUGGAGUCCGAGCCCCUCCCGGACGACCGAGCUUGUCACUCGUUCUCUAAGGGAGAGCCCGGACCCCCUGCGGAGGAAACUCAUUUCGGGCGCUUGUUCUUUGGGUCAUGAACCACGGCUCGUGAAAGUGGAGACCGGGAAUGGCCGGUAAAUCACCUCGAGAGACCGAUAACGUCACUGCACCGAUCCGCCUGUCGAUUACUCGCUCCAAUCUUCCCUCACUUGUCAACAAGACCCCGGGAUACUUGAACUCCUCCACUUGGGGGCAGGAACUCAUCCCAGACCCGAAGAGGGCACGCCACCCUUUACCGACCGAGGACCACGGCCUUGGAUUUGCUCCCUAUUCUCAUCCCAUCUGCUUCACGCUCAGGAGAUCACAGCACGAUGAAACAAUCAGAACCAAAUCAUCUGCAAAAAGCAACCACGUAAAACUGACGCCGCCAAACCGGACAUCCUCAACACCCCCAAAAACUGUUUACUGAAAUCAGACCUCAUCCCGGACAUCUUAACAGGGUUGCGUGGCACCGGAACCCGUCCCGGCUGACUUUGAUGGCAAAAGGCAAACUACGCCCCCAGGACUGGUCGCCAGUCAGUCGCAGGGCGCAUCUACGUAGACGGGGCGCCAUCGAGUACGAACUGAACCCGCGCUGCCCCCACCAAAGUCAGGCAAGUGUACCGUUACACCUUCAGUGACUAUAACCAAUUGAUAUUUGCGCGUUUUUUGCUGUGUCAAUUUGAAAUAAAAUGACGGACAUUUACAUUUAAAAAAAAAAAUCUAAUUAAUCGAUUAAUUGAAAAAAAAAAUCACCAGAGUAACUGGUUAAAAUUCAAAUUAAAGAAAACGUUUGAGGCCCCAAAUUAUCCAAAUUGUGUAUGAUAAAUAAGGCACUCCCGCGACCCUUGUGAGGAUAAGCAGCUCAAAUAAUGGGCGGAUGUGUUGCCUUCCAGUGCAGUCAUCACUUGCUUAGCCUUCACUCACGAUAUCAUUCAUCCGAACGGGUCAUACAUUGCAGAAAAUUACUUCAGUCAUUCGGUGAAACGCACUCAAAUCGGAGCAAAAAUGAAAAACUAUGAAAAUACAUUUUGUGAAAUUAUUUUUUUUGGUGUGCAUAAAAUGUGUUAAAGUGUCACGGCAUGCUUCGUUCAGUCAA